UACGUAGGGUGCAAGCGUUGUCCGGAAUUAUUGGGCGUAAAGAGCGUGUAGGCGGCCAGGUAGGUCAGCUGUGAAAACUCGAGGCUCAACCUCGAGACGCCGGUUGAAACCAUCUGGCUAGAGUCCGGAAGAGGAGAGUGGAAUUCCUGGUGUAGCGGUGAAAUGCGCAGAUAUCAGGAGGAACACCGAUGGCGAAGGCAGCUCGCUGGGACGGUACUGACGCUGAGGCGCGAAAGCGUGGGGGAGCAAACAGG
This 254-nucleotide ribosomal RNA is filed under the name uncultured bacterium. RNAcentral describes it as "partial 16S ribosomal RNA". It matches the Rfam family "Bacterial small subunit ribosomal RNA", at positions 524 to 776 of the family's 1533-position model. The record is from RNAcentral.